Molecule: ribosomal RNA, 253 nt
Filed under: uncultured bacterium
Lineage: Bacteria
Description: partial 16S ribosomal RNA
Rfam family: Bacterial small subunit ribosomal RNA
Source: RNAcentral
UACGGAGGGGGCUAGCGUUGUUCGGAAUUACUGGGCGUAAAGCGCACGUAGGCGGCUUUGUAAGUUAGAGGUGAAAGCCCGGAGCUCAACUCCGGAAUUGCCUUUAAGACUGCAUCGCUUGAAUCCGGGAGAGGUGAGUGGAAUUCCGAGUGUAGAGGUGAAAUUCGUAGAUAUUCGGAAGAACACCAGUGGCGAAGGCGACACACUGGCCCGUUACUGACGCUGAGGCGCGAAAGCGUGGGGAGCAAACAGG